GCCUAUGGUCCUACCAACUUGAAUAUGCCUGUCUCAGAAGCUAAACAGGGUCAGGCCUGGUUAGUACUUGGAUGGGCCACACUGUGAUUCCUGGGUGAAGGGCA
Molecule: ribosomal RNA, 104 nt
Filed under: Salvator merianae (Argentine black and white tegu)
Lineage: Eukaryota; Metazoa; Chordata; Lepidosauria; Squamata; Teiidae
Source: RNAcentral